This 218-nucleotide ribosomal RNA is filed under the name uncultured bacterium. RNAcentral describes it as "partial 16S ribosomal RNA". It matches the Rfam family "Bacterial small subunit ribosomal RNA", at positions 326 to 539 of the family's 1533-position model. The record is from RNAcentral.
ACGCUCGACACCUACGGGAUGCAGCAGUGAGGAAUAUUGGUCAAUGGGCGCUAGCCUGAACCAGCCAAGUAGCGUGAAGGAUGAAGGCUCUAUGGGUCGUAAACUUCUUUUAUAUAAGAAUAAAGUGCAGUAUGUAUACUGUUUUGUAUGUAUUAUAUGAAUAAGGAUCGGCUAACUCCGUGCCAGCAGCCGCGGUAAUCUGAGCGGGCUGGCAAGGC